AAAAAUAGUGUUAGUGAGAACGGAACUAAAUUGGCCUUGGCCAAUCAGCAGAGGAGCGCAACUUCAGAUGACGCGCUUGAUACGUCGUCAUGGAAACCAAAACAACAGGUUUUGUGGAGCACACGGUGUUGUUGUGACAGCCGCCAUGUGUUCGGAGUCCGCGUGUGUGUGCCCCGCCCUCCUCGUUGUCCUCCCAUCACCUCACAGCUAAUCCUUCCACACCGGUUUCCUAUCUUGCUGUCUUGUGGAUUACUUGUGGAUUGUGUCUCGCUUGCCAAGUACUGACUACCCGGAGUCUCGCACCCCUUUUUCCCACGGCUGCCUCUGUCUCCCCGUGGGCCGUUUCCCUCCGGCUCUUACUAUCUGCCCAGUGCCCCUCUGCCAUCCCUCUCACCUCUCCCCGGCUGAAUGCUCGAGCCUGUUGAACCUUUUCCGCUUUGCCUGGUAUUUCUGUCUUUGCCUGGUGUUUCUUUGAUCUGUACUGAGCUGUUAAUAAAUACCUUUCAUUUUGAACUCUGCAUCUGACUCCUGAGUUUCUACCCUAACAGUCUGAUGAGACUGACUGAACCGACUCUUUUCACAAACAUGCCAGUGACAUGUGAGGACAGAGAUCUUUCAGGUAGAAUCUAAAAAUACUCUACACACUCCUGGAUUAUGACUAUAAGAAUAAUUUUACAAAUGCCUCAUGAUACUCAAUAAAAAUGUUUUCUGUGAUCCAAAACUUCUGAAUUGUAUCCAAACAUAAUUGAAUUUUCCAUUUUUGUACCAUGUCUUGAGCACUCUUCAUUUGUUUAUCAUGUUGGCCGAAAGGUUUUUAAAGAAUGAAGCGACAAAAUUGCCUUUGGAGACAACAAAAUCUCA
Long non-coding RNA from Triplophysa dalaica, 861 nucleotides. RefSeq lists it as uncharacterized. The record is from RefSeq and is a predicted model, not a curated record. The transcript has 3 exons. NCBI's taxonomy places the organism in Eukaryota, Metazoa, Chordata, Actinopteri, Cypriniformes, Nemacheilidae.